CGUAUACGCCCUUACGGGGAAAGAUUUAUCGCCGAAAGAUUAGCCCGCGUCUGAUUAGCUUGUUGGUGAGGUAAUGGCUCACCAAGGCGACGAUCAGUAGCUGGUUUGAGAGAACGACCAGCCACACUGGGACUGAGACACGGCCCAGACUCCUACGGGAGGCAGCAGUGGGGAAUCUUGGACAAUGGGGGAAACCCUGAUCCAGCCAUGCCGCGUGAGUGAUGAAGGCCUUCGGGUUGUAAAACUCUUUCGACGGGGACGAUAAUGACGGUACCCGUAGAAGAAGCUCCGGCUAACUUCGUGCCAGCAGCCGCGGUAAUACGAAGGGGGCUAGCGUUGUUCGGAAUUACUGGGCGUAAAGCGUGCGCAGGCGGUUUCUCAAGUCAGGGGUGAAAGCCCAGAGCUCAACUCUGGAAUUGCCUUUGAAACUGUGAAACUCGAGUGCGGGAGAGGUGAGUGGAAUUCCCAGU
RNAcentral lists this ribosomal RNA (470 nucleotides) under uncultured bacterium. Its description in RNAcentral is "bacterial SSU rRNA". It matches the Rfam family "Bacterial small subunit ribosomal RNA", at positions 170 to 674 of the family's 1533-position model. The record is from RNAcentral.